This is a long non-coding RNA of Talpa occidentalis (Iberian mole), 2100 nucleotides long. RefSeq lists it as uncharacterized. The record is from RefSeq and is a predicted model, not a curated record. The transcript is spliced from 11 exons. Lineage: Eukaryota; Metazoa; Chordata; Mammalia; Eulipotyphla; Talpidae.
UCUGCUUUCACUUUCACCUGCUUUCUUUUCUCCAUAGAAUGCUUGCCAUUCUCUAAAAUCAUUUAUCCCUCCGUUGGCAUUUCGUGGUGGGUCCGUCAUCCUGACACUGGAGUGCAGCUGUCUUCUCUGUCUUGCUGUUCACCACUGCAACCUGGGUGCCAGGACCAAAGAGGGCUCAGUGAAUAGGCUCCUCAAUGAGUGACCUCAGGCAUGAGUAGGAAAUGGGAGCUGCUACCCAGAGUGAGUGACCUUUCAAAGAAAUUCAUCUGAGUUCAUCACUUUUCCACUGAAAAACCUCUAAUGGUUCCCAUGACUUCGAAGGGUAUCUGGUGUGGCCUUCAAGCCCUUCCAGCUGUUCCACAGGGACAUCUCAACUUCAGUUAUGCUACCCCACCCUCGGCUUCCUUCCCUCAGGAACAUGGAUCCCGGGACACCCUGUUACUUCCCUCAGGGACAGGAUUGUGGGGCCUGAGAGCUCACCAACAUGAAAGCUGUUCUGCUCAACCUGGAAAGAGCAUCUGGAACCAAUUCAUUGUGGUCACUUGAGCACAAGUGGAGUGAAAAAAAGCAAAGCAAUAACAAAAAAAAUACCUUUUACCUCGACCAUCAACCAACAUCAUCAUUUCAAGGAAGGACAUUUAGAUACCAAGUAUAUAAUCUCAGAAAAAAGAAGCUCCUUUCAGGGUUUCUUGAGAAGACAUCAGUGGCAGACCACACCCACUGGUUCUCAAAUCAUUCUCAAAGGAUUGCAGUUCAGACAAGGAAGUAACUUGUACAGCUUCCAGAUCUCCAAGCCCUUGGACUGGUGGCAUCAGCUGUGCCCUGGAUCUCAUUGGAGAAGAUUCAGUAACCCAAGACCCGUCUCUUUGCAAGAUCCCCAGGACUGAGGUGCAGAGGAGUGGAUGGAGUGGUAACAAUGGGAAGAUGGAAGAUGUUUGUGUGGCCAAUAUGGAACAUGCCAUGUUCAAGGAGCCAUGGGAAUUUUAAGUCAAAGAGAGGUAGCAUUGCUCUCUGAAUACUUCUAUGUGAAGAGUGGACAAGACAGCACCCCAGAAACAAUUGUUCUUACUCAAUGGCUGGCCUGGUGGAUCCUCCUUCAUCUCCUCUUUACUUUUGCCUCUGGCCCCACAAAGGGCUCCCCUGUGUCCCUCUGAAGUGAACCCAGGAGUUAGCAUGCACCGCGUGCUGACGUAGAGCAGCUGCUGCCUGCAGCUACCUGUGAUUCUGCCUAUUUGACAGAUGAAGAAACUGAGGAACAGAAUGGUGACUGGAGAAGCAGGAGAAAUGGAGAUGAGAGACUGAGGCAUUGAGGGAAGAAACAGCUCCAUUGUGGGAGCUUCACUGGGUCAUUGUCAGAGCCUGGAAUGUGGAGGGUUUGCUCCCAGGACCUGUUCUGGGCAGGAAGGUUUCCUCAGGAAGCAGCCAGGGCCCCCAGACACAGGUCCCCCUGGAAGCAUUCACUGAGUUUCUUCCAGAACCAGUGGUAACCGGAUUUAUGAGGUGCACAUUGCGGAGGAAGCAAGGUGGUGGCUGCCAAAGACCAAGCUCUCUCACUGACCUUUGCACCGACCUUUGCAUCCAUGAUGGGCCUUGAGGAAUGUCCAUCCUUGGAAAGUCUGUCCCUGCCCAGUUAUUGAUUUAACGUUUUCUCCAGCUUGCACACUUUGACCUUCACUAUCUGCUCACUCUACUAGCUCUUUGACCCUGUCCCCAGCUCACUCCAUCCCUCCAUGAGCAUGUUACACACUACUGUUCCCUAAGGAUCUGGCAUUGGCCUUCCUCAUAGGGACUCAGUCUCAAGCUGUCCUGAGUUCAGACACCUGGCAGUCUACUCUGGGGGGAAGACCUUGCUCUUGCACUCUUGUGCCUGCCUUUGCACACUCCUCUCCACUGGUCCAGGUAAGAGAUGCUCAAAACUCCUGGCUUCUGUCCUGUGGACACUGCUCCUGUAGCCUUCCCUGUAAGACAAAGACAAUUGGGACCAUCUGCUUGUGAAGCAAGAAGGUGCUAUCCCUUCCGGAAAUAGUCACCCAACAUACCUUCCUGGAUAUUUACUAUUUGCAGGUGCUGGUGCUAAGGCAUCUCUCUGAACUGGCCAGA